RNAcentral lists this long non-coding RNA (344 nucleotides) under Sorghum bicolor (sorghum). RNAcentral describes it as "long non-coding RNA (SBIC_LNC000115)". The record is from RNAcentral. Lineage: Eukaryota; Viridiplantae; Streptophyta; Magnoliopsida; Poales; Poaceae.
CGUUUUUGGGCACGUGUCUAGGAUGGCAGGAUAGGGUGGCAGUACGAUGCGGGUUGCUGAUGAGGAUGGUUGCCGAUGAGGGAGAGGUUGAAUGUGACUAAGUCCACAGACAGUAAUAUGGUGCCGAUGGCUGGAUAAAAAGGUCUGCCGAUGACUAUGGCAAGAGGAUUGCCGAUGAUGCAAAGGAGGAGUCCGGAAGCUGCCAGUUGUCAUGUGGAGGAGUUUCGGUUUGUCACGAAGGAUAGUUUUAUUAUUUCCUUAAUUAUUUGCAUCGUUUUGUAUACGGAUUCCGUGUAAUUUGGAAUUCGAAUUCUAAUCGUGUCUGGUUGUAGCUCUUUGAGCAG